Molecule: ribosomal RNA, 484 nt
Filed under: uncultured bacterium
Lineage: Bacteria
Description: partial 16S ribosomal RNA
Rfam family: Bacterial small subunit ribosomal RNA
Source: RNAcentral
AUUGAACGCUGGCGGCAGGCCUAACACAUGCAAGUCGAGCGGAUGAAGGGAGCUUGCUCCUGGAUUCAGCGGCGGACGGGUGAGUAAUGCCUAGGAAUCUGCCUGGUAGUGGGGGAUAACGUCCGGAAACGGGCGCUAAUACCGCAUACGUCCCGAGGGAGAAAGUGGGGGAUCUUCGGACCUCACGCUAUCAGAUGAGCCUAGGUCGGAUUAGCUAGUUGGUGGGGUAAAGGCCUACCAAGGCGACGAUCCGUAACUGGUCUGAGAGGAUGAUCAGUCACACUGGAACUGAGACACGGUCCAGACUCCUACGGGAGGCAGCAGUGGGGAAUAUCGGACAAUGGGCGAAAGCCUGAUCCAGCCAUGCCGCGUGUGUGAAGAAGGUCUUCGGAUUGUAAAGCACUUUAAGUUGGGAGGAAGGGCAGUAAGUUAAUACCUUGCUGUUUUGACGUUACCAACAGAAUAAGCACCGGCUAACUUCGUG